This 484-nucleotide ribosomal RNA is filed under the name uncultured bacterium. Its description in RNAcentral is "partial 16S ribosomal RNA". It matches the Rfam family "Bacterial small subunit ribosomal RNA", at positions 30 to 507 of the family's 1533-position model. The record is from RNAcentral.
AUUGAACGCUGGCGGCAGGCCUAACACAUGCAAGUCGAGCGGAUGAAGGGAGCUUGCUCCUGGAUUCAGCGGCGGACGGGUGAGUAAUGCCUAGGAAUCUGCCUGGUAGUGGGGGAUAACGUCCGGAAACGGGCGCUAAUACCGCAUACGUCCUGAGGGAGAAAGAGGGGGAUCUUCGGACCUCACGCUAUCAGAUGAGCCUAGGUCGGAUUAGCUAGUUGGUGGGGUAAAGGCCUACCAAGGCGACGAUCCGUAACUGGUCUGAGAGGAUGAUCAGUCACACUGGAACUGAGACACGGUCCAGACUCCUACGGGAGGCAGCAGUGGGGAAUAUUGGACAAUGGGCGAAAGCCUGAUCCAGCCAUGCCGCGUGUGUGAAGAAGGUCUUCGGAUUGUAAAGCACUUUAGGUUGGGAGGAAGGGCAGUGAGUUAAUACCUUGCUGUUUUGACGUUACCAACAGAAUAAGCACCGGCUAACUUCGUG